AACCUUAUGGACCUGCGGGCGUAUACCUGCGGAAGGAUCAUUAAUGGGUAGGCUUUGGCCAUAAUCCCUCACCAUUGUGAACGAAGCUUUAGUAGCAGUUGCUUCGGCGGGUGAUAAUACCAUGCCCCUUUCGGGGUACCCGCCGGAGGCAAGUAAAUUCUUGUUAUUUAUUGUUAUCUCUGAGUAAACUUUAAAUAAGUCAAAACUUUUAACAACGGAUCUCAGAUCGGAAGAGCACAC
RNAcentral lists this unclassified non-coding RNA (240 nucleotides) under soil metagenome. RNAcentral describes it as "partial contains 5.8S ribosomal RNA, internal transcribed spacer 2, and large subunit ribosomal RNA". The record is from RNAcentral.